UACGAAGGGGGCUAGCGUUGUUCGGAAUUACUGGGCGUAAAGCGUGCGCAGGCGGCUUCUCAAGUCAGGGGUGAAAGGCCCAGAGCUCAACUCUGGAAUUGCCUUUGAGACUGAGUGGCUUGAGUACGAGAGAGGUGAGUGGAAUUCCCAGUGUAGAGGUGAAAUUCGUAGAUAUUGGGAAGAACACCGGUGGCGAAGGCGGCUCACUGGCUCGUAACUGACGCUCAUGCACGACAGCGUGGGGAUCAAACAGG
This 254-nucleotide ribosomal RNA is filed under the name uncultured bacterium. RNAcentral describes it as "partial 16S ribosomal RNA". It matches the Rfam family "Bacterial small subunit ribosomal RNA", at positions 524 to 776 of the family's 1533-position model. The record is from RNAcentral.